This 424-nucleotide ribosomal RNA is filed under the name uncultured bacterium. RNAcentral describes it as "SSU rRNA". It matches the Rfam family "Bacterial small subunit ribosomal RNA", at positions 369 to 808 of the family's 1533-position model. The record is from RNAcentral.
CAAUGGGGGAACCCUGAUGCAGCGACGCCGCGUGAAGUGAUGAAGUAUUUCCGUAUGUAAAACUCUAUCAGCAGGGNAAGAUAAUGACGGUACCUGCACUAAGAAGCACCGGCUAAAUACGUGCCAGCAGCCGCGGUAAUACGUAUGGUGCAAGCGUUAUCCGGAUUUACUGGGUGUAAAGGGUGCGUAGGUGGUAUGGCAAGUCAGAAGUGAAAGGCUGGGGCUCAACCCCGGGACUGCUUUUGAAACUGUCAAACUAGAGUACAGGAGAGGAAAGCGGAAUUCCUAGUGUAGCGGUGAAAUGCGUAGAUAUUAGGAGGAACACCAGUGGCGAAGGCGGCUUUCUGGACUGAAACUGACACUGAGGCACGAAAGCGUGGGGAGCAAACAGGAUUAGAUACCCUGGUAGUCCAAGGGCGAAUUC